ACGGACAUGAUACUGUGGGCUUCAACCACAAACCACUAAUUGUUGUUCCAGCACGUCAUAAGUGUCGUGUCACAAAAGAAAUCAUCAAUAAUCGGGUUCAAGCUGCAGUGACCAACACGCCACUCACCCAAGUCUGAAAUCUGAGUAUUUGCUGGUGUUGCCCUGGGAGCCAGAUUGCCUCAUCCGCCCUUAUCUUGCCCCAUUUUUUGCAACAAUAGGUGUUUCGGUUCAAUGAGGGCUGAUUGGGCCAUUUCUGAUUUUUAUGAACUAUGGGGGCCGCCAAUAUCGCCAAUAUCGCCAAUAACGGAAUGGGAUCAGACAAGGAGGGAUGAGGCUAAUUACACCCAGCCAAAAGCCGUUGAUAUUUUAUAGAUUUAGUGCAUACACUUUCAUUGCAUCUCCAAAAAAUCAGAGUAUACG
Molecule: small RNA, 420 nt
Filed under: Histoplasma capsulatum var. duboisii H88
Lineage: Eukaryota; Fungi; Ascomycota; Eurotiomycetes; Onygenales; Ajellomycetaceae
Description: Histoplasma capsulatum H88 hypothetical RNA
Source: RNAcentral